UUUUGCCAUUAAAAUACUUCUCAGACGUCACCAAAUUUAGACGGAUUUGGAAUGGGACUCUGGCGGGCACUCGUCAAGCCCAAAGGCCGGCGGCGGUUUGACCCGCGGGCCCGCCAAAGCAACGAUGGUAAGGUACACAUUGGGUGGGAGGUUCGGGACCGAGGCCCCUAUUCUCUAUAAUGAUCCUUCCGCAGGUUCACCUACGGAAA
Molecule: unclassified non-coding RNA, 209 nt
Filed under: uncultured fungus
Lineage: Eukaryota; Fungi
Description: sequence contains ITS1
Source: RNAcentral